RNAcentral lists this transfer RNA (75 nucleotides) under Cordylochernes scorpioides. RNAcentral's name for it is "tRNA-Thr". Lineage: Eukaryota; Metazoa; Arthropoda; Arachnida; Pseudoscorpiones; Chernetidae. The record is from RNAcentral.
UGUCAAGGGAUGGGAAUCGAACCCACGACCUUCCGCUUACCGAGCAGAUGCCAUGACCACUAGGCUACCCUGGAC